UUGAUGAUUUAAAUGACUUUGUUUAUAAACUUAAAAGAUGACAAAAUAAAUACGAUCAUUUUAAAAAAGUUAUUGUGUGAACAUGGAAACAAGUUCACAGAAGAAGAGUUUAAAAAAUUUCUUGUUGAUGUUCCAGUAGACGACGAUGGGAACAUAAGCCACUCUGAUUUCAUUGAAACCUUUUCUAAGUACGUCGAAUACUAAAAACAAAAUACACAGUCGUCAGGAAUAAAAAAUUAAAAAUAAGAAAAAAACA
Molecule: long non-coding RNA, 256 nt
Filed under: Piliocolobus tephrosceles (Ugandan red Colobus)
Lineage: Eukaryota; Metazoa; Chordata; Mammalia; Primates; Cercopithecidae
Description: lncRNA (ENSPTEG00000020128.1)
Source: RNAcentral